This 424-nucleotide long non-coding RNA is filed under the name Brassica rapa (field mustard). RNAcentral describes it as "long non-coding RNA (BRAP_LNC007138)". The record is from RNAcentral. Lineage: Eukaryota; Viridiplantae; Streptophyta; Magnoliopsida; Brassicales; Brassicaceae.
UCCCGAUAACCUAGUGAUUAGUGAAUCUAAGUUUCACAUGUUUAAGAGCUUACUAACCUGAGGUCCUUAAAGCUGCUAUAUCGGCUGAAGCUGGAAACUACUCGACCAGGUGGUGUAUGUACUCGUGCUGGAAAACGAGUUGUGCAAUCCUUCAUUGUUCUCAUCACAGGACACAAACAAAAAGAAAAGACAGUUCAGUUCAUAGAACACAAAAAAAAAAGACAGUUCAGGACACAAACCUUGGCAGUUGGCACGCAAUCUCCUUUGGCGCCAGCAACCAUCUUGGGGAAGUCGUUGAUGAACAUGAUCUCUUCUCUGUAUGUACAAACGAAGAGACAUAUCAGUACUAUCAAUGCAAACAACUGAAACAAGACGCUACACUACUCAACACAAGACAAUAAGAGAGUGACUAACCUGAUGUCCU